CUUGGCGGCCAUAGCCCUUUGGACCCACCCCUUCCCAUCCCGAACAGGACCGUGAAACGAAGGCGCGCCGAUGAUAGUGCAUCUCCAUGUGUGAAAGUAGGUCACCGCCAGGC
Molecule: ribosomal RNA, 113 nt
Filed under: Paracoccaceae bacterium
Lineage: Bacteria; Pseudomonadati; Pseudomonadota; Alphaproteobacteria; Rhodobacterales; Paracoccaceae
Also listed under: 1 other name
Source: RNAcentral